Molecule: non-coding RNA, 385 nt
Organism: Amphiprion ocellaris (clown anemonefish)
Lineage: Eukaryota; Metazoa; Chordata; Actinopteri; Pomacentridae
Source: the annotation of a RefSeq genome assembly
CAGAGACUGACAUACCGACAGCACAAUGAUCAUGUUUGUGACUCUACUGCUGACCACCCUGGGGCUCCUUGUUCAGGCUUCAUCAGGAGACAUCAUCCUGACUCAGUCUGCUGGAUUUCAGUCUGCUGUUCCAGGACAGACUGUCUCCAUCACAUGUAAAUCCAGUAGGCUGAUAGGUGAUGACAUAAACUGGUACCUUCAGAAACCUGGAGAAGCUCCCAAACUCCUGAUUGCUGAUACUACAGCACGGCAGUCUGGAGUUCCAGAACGUUUCAGAGCAAAUGCUCAUCAGACUGACUUCAUUCUGACCAUCAGUGGAGUUCAGACUGAAGAUGCAGGAGUUUAUUACUGUCAGCAGCAUAACAGCUUCCCGUUCACACAGUGA